UGGCGAACGGGUGAGUAACGCGUGGGAAACCUGCCCUUGAGUGGGGGACAACACUUCUAACGAGGUGCUAAUACCGCAUAAUAUCUUUGGAUGGCAUCUUCCGAAGAUCAAAGACGGCCUCUGAUUUAAGCUGUCGUUUGAGGAUGGUCCCGCGUCCGAUUAGCUUGUUGGUGAGGUAAUGGCUCACCAAGGCUACGAUCGGUAGCCGGCCUGAGAGGGUGUCCGGCCACACUGGGACUGAGAUACGGCCCAGACUCCUACGGGAGGCAGCAGUCGAGAAGCUUCCGCAAUGGGCGAAAGCCUGACGGAGCGACGCCGCGUGAGUGAGGAAGGUCUUCGGAUCGUAAAACUCUGUCAGAGGGGAAGAAACACGAAUGGGUUAAUAUCCCAUUCGCUUGACGGUACCCUCAGAGGAAGCUCCGGCUAACUCCGUGCCAGCAGCCGCGGUAAUACGGAGGGAGCAAACGUUGUUCGGAAUCACUGGGCGUAAAGGGCUCGUAGGCGGCUUUUUAAGUCGGGGGUGAAAUCCAGUGGCUCAACCAUUGGCCUGCCUCCGAAACUGAAAAGCUUGAGUCCGUGAGGGGAGAGGGGAAUUCCUGGUGUAUCGGUGAAAUGAGUUGAUAUCAGGAGGAACACCCGUGGCGAAGGCGCCUCUCUGGCACGGUACUGACGCUGAGGAGCGAAAGCGUGGGGAGCAAACAGGAUUAGAUACCCUGGUAGUCCACGCCGUAAACGAUGAGAACUAGG
Molecule: ribosomal RNA, 747 nt
Filed under: uncultured bacterium
Lineage: Bacteria
Description: bacterial SSU rRNA
Rfam family: Bacterial small subunit ribosomal RNA
Source: RNAcentral